GAAAUGCGAUAAGUAAUGUGAAUUGCAGAAUUCAGUGAAUCAUCGAAUCUUUGAACGCACCUUGCACCCAUUGGUAUUCCAAAGGGUAUGCUCGUUUGAGUGUCAUUGUACUCUCACACUCCAAUUUUGGAGAAGUGGACUUGGGUGUUGCUGCUUUGCAGUGGCUCAUCUUAAAUACGCUAGUGCAACUCAUAGUUGGAUAUAGUACAGCGUGAUAAGUAUCUUCGCUGGCGCCUCAUGAAGAGGGUAUCCGAUUGGGAGCUCUGUGCUUCUAACAGUCCUGUCUGGGACAAUCUCUGACAACUUGGCCUCAAAUCGAGUAGGACUACCCGCUGAACUUAA
RNAcentral lists this unclassified non-coding RNA (342 nucleotides) under uncultured Sebacina. RNAcentral describes it as "sequence contains ITS1". The stretch from base 1 to 105 matches the Rfam family "5.8S ribosomal RNA", at positions 50 to 154 of the family's 154-position model. Lineage: Eukaryota; Fungi; Basidiomycota; Agaricomycetes; Sebacinales; Sebacinaceae. The record is from RNAcentral.